Molecule: ribosomal RNA, 253 nt
Filed under: uncultured bacterium
Lineage: Bacteria
Description: partial 16S ribosomal RNA
Rfam family: Bacterial small subunit ribosomal RNA
Source: RNAcentral
UACGAAGGGGGCUAGCGUUGUUCGGAAUCACUGGGCGUAAAGGGCGUGUAGGCGGUCAGGCAAGUGAGAUGUGAAACGCCCCGGCUCACCCGGGGACCUGCAUCUCAAACUGCCUGGCUUGAGUAUGGGAGAGGAUGAGGGAAUUCCUGGUGUAGCGGUGAAAUGCGUAGAUAUCAGGAGGAACACCGGUGGCGAAAGCGCUCAUCUGGCCCAAUACUGACGCUGAGGCGCGAAAGCUAGGGGAGCAAACGGG